Arachis ipaensis is the source of this 4845-nucleotide non-coding RNA. Lineage: Eukaryota; Viridiplantae; Streptophyta; Magnoliopsida; Fabales; Fabaceae. The record is from RefSeq and is a predicted model, not a curated record.
ACCAUGUGUAUUUCACUAGUUGUGUGAUGCUUGUAGUUGUUAAACUUUACAAUGGAUGUACACAAUUGAAAAUGGAAAUGAAGAUAAAAAACUACUGUUUAACAGAGUUGGGAGAUUUGAAUUGAUUUACUUCAUGCCUUAGCUGGACUCCACAUUUUUCUAUCAUUCUCCAUCCUUUCAACUUUAACGUUGUUGCUGUUGAUUGUUGAGAGAUUCUUAUGCAGCAUAAAAAUAAAGAUCUAUGAAGAUAUACUAGUUUAGGAUAAGGAUUAAUAGUUUGUUGCAAAUAGAAAUUAUUUGUCUGCUGUGCAUGUUCAAUUUGAAUGUUCCUUAUUGCUACUGACUGUGGACUUCCAUCAGAUUUCAGAUGGAAUGACUAUACAAAUUCAAACAGUUAAUUUAUUAGUUGAAAUCAAUAUUUAUAUCUUCUUUGCUGGGUUUGGUCAUUAGUGCAGUAUUUGGUCUGCAUUCAUUGCAAUAGAGUUUAAUGAUAGUGCAUGUUUUUAUGUGGUGGCUUUACAGAUAAACCUGAUGGACUGUUCGUCCUCUUUGACCAAAAAAUUAUGUUAUAAAUUUAUCAGAAACUUAUCCAUAAGUAUCCCUAUAUCUCUGGCGGUAGGGCACCGCCUAUGGCAUCGGUCACCAUUCACAAUUUGUUGCUGUAUACCACAAAUGAAAGCUGGGAGGUAAUUAUGUUUUUGCUCGUGCUUACAAUUAAUUUGGGACCCUUGGUAUAAAUAUUAUUGAAGAUUUUUUCCGUCUGCAUUAUCAGGUUGUAAAUCUUAGGGAGGCAAACAAGUAAUAGGAAGUAUAUAUAUGUAUUCAAAUGACUACAUUACGCCUUUCAUUUUACAUCUUAUGUGUCUGUGACCGAUAUUGGGAUAAUUACCUUCUAAAUAUUGAUAUUGUAUUUCAUCUCUAUCCAUUCAUUGGUAUUUCUCACUCCCCACCUCUUUCUCUUCAGAAACUGGAGUGAGAAUCUGUCUAUUGAUCUUUUGCCUUAUCCUGACAUGUUGAGGGAUGAACUUUAGGCUGUUCUCAAGAGCGAGCAAACAUGAGAGAUGAUGAUGGUACAAAACGAGUAUUCUUUGGAGGGGAGUGUUUUUUAGAAGGAAUAUCGGGAGAAGCAUAUGUACAAUUCCUCUAAUUAUUGUAAUCUACUUUCUUCUAAAAGGCUAAGAUUCUUGACUCUUGAUAUGUUACUAUGUUUGCUAUUCCUCAUAUCACAAUUCAGAGAACAGUCUGCAACAGUCCACUUGGGCUUGAGUUUCAGUUGCACAUCACAGAAGCUCUUUGUCCUACAUUAAGUGAGCCAGGUAAUUAAAAGGACACUUUCUACAUGUAUCCAUAUUGAAUCGAUACAAGUGACACAGAUGUUGUAUGAAGUUAAUAUAUCAUGUGUGCAGAACUUCGUGCACUUCUCUGCUUUAUGACAGGAUUAUCUAUCUGUCUAAAUAGAGGAGAUGUGAAUUUGAAGGCCUAGGUUUGAAUUGCCUUAACUUUUCCCACCUUUGAGAAAAUCAGUUUUCAAAAGCUCGUUUUUGGACAAAGCUCUUCUAUUAUUCUAGAUUUUUGAGUCGUCUUUGAAUUUGAAUCAUGACAGUGAUCUAAUGAAGCUGCUGGGCACUCUCUUGUCUCAGUUGUUGUGGACCAUAUAUUUAUUUGCAUCAAAGAUUCUGAAUUCCAGCUUGAACUAUUAAUGCAAUCCCUUUUUCUCUCUUGGGUAAUUUCCUUGAUUAUAUUCUUUUUUGUGUCUUUAUUUGUGAAUCAUUCUUCCCUUCCUGAUACCGUUUGCAUCACCUGUUGAUGCCAUAGAAUAUGUAUAGGGAAAGGAGGAUUUAUAACAUGCAUGGAAUGAUGUAAGUGUUUAAAAGUUAAACAAAAAUCAACCGAAAUAUAUAUAUAUAUAUAUAUCAAGAAUCGGAUCAGGUGCUGGUCUAGUAUUAUGAGUAAGAGCUAAAAUCUGCAUGCAAAGUAAAAUUCCUAACCCUAAUUAAAAUAAUAAACAUAGUACAAUUGGCAAAUGACAAAUAACAAAAUCCUUCCUUAAUGACAUUCCAUAUUAUAUUCGGAAGAUUAUCAUGAGAUACAUUAAAUAUGUAGGAUAUAUUGAAUUUUUUCUGAGAUAUUCUGACAUUAUUCUUCACCAUCGAUGCUACAUUACACUUAUAUCUAGCAGGUACAAUAUAAUCAACUAGAAAAAGUUCCUCUAAAAGGAGAAUGUAAGGGUGUAUCCACCGCUGAAUCAUUUUGUGAGUUAUGAUUACAAUACUUUUGUUGAUCUAGAGGUACAUAAACAUAAACCCUUGCCUUCAUAUUUGAAAAGCAAGCUGACUCUAGAAUAAUGGUUAAUACCUAAGGGCAUAUUUGUCUUGCAUGUUCAUGCAAUCUAUACACGAAGUAUUACUCAGUAAAUUUGGAAAAUGUAUUUGAAUUUGGCUUGAUGAGGUUAAAAAAUCUUUAGUUAUUAUCUCAGUAUUCAAAUUCUAGAGAUGAGAAACUUCCUCUACAUGUUUAUCUCAGAUGAUCUUAUUCAGCAUUUGUUGAUUUUAAAUACAUUAAUGAAAAAUGUUUAUCUAGUUCUCUCUGCAUUGGCAAGUUGCCGUGUCUAUUGGUCCUUUGAUGUGCCAUAAUAUUUCUGGCAUCCCUGGGGAACAAUUAAUUGAUUAUAUAUCUUCCUUGUAGGCAAGUCUUUUGGAGGAAGAAAAUGAGAGUAGCUUGACCAGGAUUACCAUUGCAGGUCUAUUUUUAAGGUUUGUGUUAUAUGCUCUGCCUGAAUAACUACUAUUGAAAGGAUUAAGUAAUUAAUUAAUCUUAUUUUGCUCAUGGCCUUUCAUAUUGUUUAUCGAUGUUAAUAGGACUUUAAGUUGAGUGAAAACUAUAUACAAACUAAUCUAAAAGGGCUUAGAUUAAUUUAGGAUGUUUUGGUUUUAGUCCCUCAAAAAAUUUCUUGAAAUGCAAUACUGAUAAGGAUAAUUUUAUUUCGGUGUUGUCUAGUAAUGUGUUGUAAAUUUAUUGAAUAGCCAACAAAGAUACCUUCAUAAGAUUUUAGAUCAAAUUUUUUAAAAUUAUCUUUAGUGUUUAACACAAAAUAUUUGCAUCCAAAAAUAUAAAAGUACUUAAGAUUGGGUGGUACUCCUUUCCAAAGCUCAUAAGGUAUUUUCUUUAAAAUUUUUCUAAUGAUGGUUCAGUUCAACAUGUAACAAGCUGUGUUUAUAGCUUCAACCCAAAGAAAUUUUGAAAUUUCAUUUUCACAAAGCAUAGCCCUAACCAUUUCUUGGAGGCUUCUAUUUCUCUUUUUAACAACUCCAUUUUGUUGAGGUGUUCUAGGAUAUGAAAAAUUAUGAAAAAUACCAAAUUCAUCACAAAAUUAUUCAAAGUCUUGAUUUUCAAACUCUUUUCCAAGAUCACUUCUUAUGGAAACUAUUUUUAAAAUCUUUUUCAUUUUGAAUCUUUUUGCAUAGAGUUGAAAAAGUAAUGAAAGUAUCAUUUUUAUGAGCCAAGGAAAAAACUCAUCCAAAUCUAGUAUAGUCAUCAACCACCACUAAACCAUAGUAUUUACCACCAAAGCUUUGAGUCCUAGUAGGACCAAAAAGAUUAAUAUGUAGCAUUUUCAAUAGUUUUUUGGUUGAGAUAUCAUUCUUGGGUUUAAAAAAAAUUUAGUUUGUCUGCCCGAUUGACAAGUAUCACAAGUGAUGUCUUUGUCAAAUUUUAUUUUUGGAAGAUCUCUAACUAAAUUCUUUUUCACAAGUUUAGAAAUUUGGAACAUGUUAGCAUGUCCUAAUUUCUUAUGUCAUAACCAUUUUUCAUAUUCAAUGGAUGUGAAAUAAACUACAUUUUGUUCUUUUAGUUCCUCCAAGGUUAGUCCAUACACAUUGUUGUAUCUUUUAGCUUCAAACAAGAUAUCAUCAAAUUUUUUACACACAACCAAGCAUUCCAAUUUCUUGAAAAUGACUAAAUAGUCUAAGUCACACAAUUGGCUAAUGCAUAGAAGAUUGUGGCUUAAUCCAUCAAUUAAAAAUACAUCGUUAAUGAAAGUUGAGAAACUCUUACCAACCUUACCUACGGCCACAAUCUUUCCUUUACCAUUGUCACCGAAAGCCACAAAACCUCCAUCGUACUUAUCAAGUUUGAUGAAGUAUGUGGCCUUUCCGGUCAUGUGCCUAGAGCAUCUACUAUCCAAGUACCACAUGUCAUUCUUCUUUUUGGAUGCUAGGCAAAAUUGCACAAAGCUCUUAAGUGACCUUAGGUAUUCAAAUAUUUUUUGAUCUUUUAAUGUUAAACCUUUUUGGUUGUCUAAGUGCAUUGUAUUUACCAGCUAUUUUGUAAACUUUAUUGCCAAUUUUUCUUUCAAAAAUGAAACAUUGAAUAGAAAAGUGACCAUCUCUAUUGCAUAUGUUACAGAAUUUAUUGGUUGCUGGUUUUUUUAAGGUGAUUUGGGUUUUGAAAUCUUUUGUCUUUAGAAGUAGAAGAUUCAUUUUCAAUGUGUGAAAUUUUAAAAACAGAUUCAGAUUUUUCACAAUAACCCAACCCAGUCUUUUCAAAAAUAGGUCUUUGACUAGCUAACAAUUUAUCUAAAUUUUCAAAACUUUGAGCAAAUUUAGCUAAGUCUAGUUUUAGACUCUUAACCUCUUUAUGCAACCUUUCAUUCUCUUCAAAAUAGUUUAAUUGUGCAACAACAGAAUGUUGUCUAUCACAACUACUGAGUUCAGCUUUAAGCCGUUUGUUUUCUUCAACAAGAUCAACAGUGGUCUCAGAUUCCCUCAAUUUUUCUUUGAGAAUGGCAUUUUCUGCUUUUAGGAUGUCAUUUUCAUAUUCAUGUACAUGGCAUUGAUUCAUAAAAUU